This 119-nucleotide ribosomal RNA is filed under the name Peromyscus maniculatus bairdii (prairie deer mouse). Lineage: Eukaryota; Metazoa; Chordata; Mammalia; Rodentia; Cricetidae. The record is from RNAcentral.
GUCUAAAAUCAUACUGCCCUGAACAUACCCAAUCUCUUCUCAUCUCAGAAGCUAAGCAGGGCCGGGACUGGUUAGUAUUUGAAUGGGAGACCGCCUAGGAUUACCAGGUGCUGUAGGCU